GCUGGGUUAGCUCACUCGGUUAAGGCGCUGCAAUUGCGAUGCAGAAGUGACUACUACGGCGCGGGUUCGAUCCCCAGUUGUACCAACCA
This is a non-coding RNA of Gymnothorax javanicus (giant moray), 89 nucleotides long. Lineage: Eukaryota; Metazoa; Chordata; Actinopteri; Anguilliformes; Muraenidae. The record is from the annotation of a GenBank genome assembly.